AAGAACAGAAUGAGGAACAAUGUUCUCCCAGGUCUGGUCUGAAUUUGGGAGGGCUGACUUGCCUAAUUUUAGAGGUGUUGUGCCCAAGAGGAAUGGAGGCCGGGUUUCCUUGCUUCUUUACCAAUCUACUUAUCGGUUUCCUGUUCAACUCCCUUCCUUUGCUUAAAGAAAUUCCUUUGGAUUUUCAUGGGGGAGCAACCAAGAAGAGUUCUUCAGAAACUCGGAUUUAAAAAUUCCUUUUCUAGAGAAUUAAAAUAUAUUAAUAACAGAUUUGACUUUAGAUAAAUGUCACACUCCAGUAAAGAGACUUUAAGAAUUACUCAGUAAUCAAACCAUGUGAAUUCAAUGGUCUACAGGCUUGGAAUCUUAAGAAAUUGCUGAUGAUGACAUUGGCUGCCUCGGUCUUAGGAACUGCCAGAAAUAGCCACUAACCAAGAGAAAGAGAGCAAGGAUUAGCCCUGAAUAAUUGGUCAACGAUGCUGAUUUCGUUGGUUUCCUGUUCCUUUUGCUUCCUGGAAAAUACAGACCUACAAAGCAAACAUUGUGUGUGGGUUGAUGCUACAGCAUCGUCUGAACUUGGAAGGAUGAUCAUGGAUUCUGAUGCCUCGUGGUCUCACUACAGGUCUAAUUUUCAUGUGUUUUAGGAGUCUUGGGAUUAGGUUAUGUACUCUGACUCUGGGCAAAUGGAAACAUCAGGCAAGAAUUAUUUAUCUCAUAACAUUUCUUACAAGGUAUUAACUUUUGGACCAUUUUGGAGAAGAUGAGCAAAUUCAUUUCUCAAGACCAGCAGGGUUGGUUGCUAUGAGCAGGCCUGGGUCAGCACAUAAGACCUGCCCUUGCUGACCUGGGAAGUUUCUAUAUAUGAUGAAAAUCUUUUUCAUAAUCGGAUGAUGGUAACUGGCAGGGUGUCACUAGAUUAUGUAGAUGAUGGUUUAUGUUAACAACAACUAUUUUGUUAAAAAGUAUUUGUUGAACUUCUACUUUGUGAGAGGUCUUCUUCCAGGUGCUGGGCAGUAGUACCUCUUCAUUGUACUUUGAACUCUUUCUUUGUUAUUUUAUUUCAUUCACAUUUGUAAGUUCAGCCAGAGUAAAAUCUUUUCUUAACUCAAAUUUUUAUUUUGAAUUGAGAAAUAAUAAUUGUAUAUAUUUAUGGGGUACAAUGUGAUGUUUUGAUAUAUGAAAACAUUGUAGCAUGAUUAUAUCAAGCUAAUUAACAUUUUUAUCACCUUACAUAGUUACCAUUUUUAUGUAGUGAGAACAUUUACAAUCUACUUUUUAAAGCAAUUUUGAAACAUGUGAUACAUUAUUAACUGGUUACCAUGCUGUGUAACAGAUCUUGAAACUUAUCGCUCCUGUAUAACUGAAACUUCGUCUCCUUUCACCAACAUCUCCCCAUUCUAUUCUCCCCACCCUGCCCCUCAGCCUCUGGUAAUCACCAUUCUACCCUCUAUGUCCACGAGUUUGAUUUUUUCAGAUUCCACAUAUAAGUGAGAUCUUGUGGUAUUUGUUUUUUUGCACCUGGCUGAUUUCACUUAGCACAAUGUUCUCCAGAUUCAUCCAUGUUAUUGAAAAUGACAGAAUGUUCUUCUUUUUAAAAGUUGAAUAGUAUUCCACUACAUUUUUUAAUUCAUUCAUCUGUUGAUGGACAUUUAUGUUGAUUCCGUAUCUUGGCUAUUGUGAAUAUUGCUGCAAUGAACAUGAGGGCACAGAUAUCACUCUGAGGUGCUGAUUUCACUUCCUUUGGGUAUAUACCCAGAAGUGAGAUUGCUGAAUGAUAUGCAAAUUCUAUUUUUGUUUUUUUGAGGUGCCUCCACACUAUUUUCCACAAUGGCUAUACUAACUUACAUUUCUACCAACAGUGUAGAAGCGUUCCCUUUUCUCUACAUCUUUGCCAACAUUUUUUAUCUUUUGUCUUUUUGAUAAUAGCUGUUCUAACAGGGAUGAGAUGGGAGCUCAUUGUCAUUUUAAUUUUCAUUUCCCUGAUAAUUACUGAUGUUGAGCAUUUUUCAUAAGCCUACUGGCUAUUUGUAUGUUUUCAAGUAGCAAAAUAUUGAUCUGACUGACUCUCUCUCUUUUUUUUUUCUCCCUCUCUCCCUCUACACCCCACCCCACACACACUCCAUUAUAAAUAUUUAUGGAGGUUGCAGUGGGAAAGACAAUCAUAUAACUCUACCAUUACUUGCGUAUAUUUUAAAUUAUUAUCUGCAAGACUUCUUGAAUCCAUGUCCCGAUAAACAGAAAUGUUUUGAUCUAGACUUUGCUGAAGUAUAUUUCAAGGUGGGAAAUAUUGGUUAUUCAUUUCAAAAAUAGUAAUAAGUAACACAUUAUGUUAUAUUGCUGAGGUGUAUAAGAUACAGAACUGUAGAAAUCCAAAGAAGGAAAUACCUUUAAAGGAAGCUCUCCAUGGAAACCUAUCAAGCUAUGAAUUUAAAGCAUGCUAAGUGGCUUCUGGCAAAGCCACAUCAAUGGAAAGGUUUAUCACUUAACAAUGUCCACACACGGAAUGCCAUAGUUCUGUGGGAACUACAGCCAACGACUCAUAGGUUUUCUGGACAGCUACACAAAUGUUUUCUUUUAGUGUGAUACUUAAAGUAUUUGACUUUAAUUCUGAUAUUUUCUCUCAUGCCUCCACAUCUGAAAGAAUUCAACGCUAUCUUUAUUUGAAGUCUGUCCUGGUUAGCAAGCUGGCUGGUGGUGAUGUAUCACAUACCGUGGUUUCUGUGAUGUGGGCUGCUGACUAUGGAAAGAUGAAUGAAGAUCACAAUCACAUUAAGUUUGAGGACUAUGGUCAGACUUAAACCAUUAUCCUUGAGGUGUAUGGCUGUUGAUUUAUCAAUGUUCUCAUUUUUAUGAAGGAAAUCUUCUCAAGGUUGCUGUAUGCUCUGUGUGUGUUGUAUGUCAAAUAAGGUAUAAUGUUAUGUUCUCUCAUAACUUCAUAAAUAAGAAUGUAUUGCUUUGAGAGAUGGAAUAAAAUGACAAGUUUUAUUUGGCAUCUAU
Pan troglodytes (chimpanzee) is the source of this 2997-nucleotide long non-coding RNA. RefSeq lists it as uncharacterized. The transcript is spliced from 4 exons. The record is from RefSeq and is a predicted model, not a curated record. Lineage: Eukaryota; Metazoa; Chordata; Mammalia; Primates; Hominidae.